This 253-nucleotide ribosomal RNA is filed under the name uncultured bacterium. RNAcentral describes it as "partial 16S ribosomal RNA". It matches the Rfam family "Bacterial small subunit ribosomal RNA", at positions 524 to 776 of the family's 1533-position model. The record is from RNAcentral.
UACGGAGGGUGCAAGCGUUAUCCGGAAUUACUGGGUUUAAAGGGUGCGUAGGCGGUUAAUUAAGUCAGAGGUGAAAGGUAAUUGCUUAACGAUUAAAUUGCCUUUGAUACUGGUUAACUUGAAUGGAGAUGAGGUUGGCGGAAUGUGAUAUGUAGCGGUGAAAUGCGUAGAUAUAUCAUAGAACAUCGAUUGCGAAGGCAGCUGACUAAUCUUACUUUGACGCUGAGGCACGAAAGCGUGGGGAGCGAACAGG